GACGAACGCUGGCGGCGUGCUUAACACAUGCAAGUGGAGCGACGAACCAGGCUUCGGCCUGGGGCAGAGCCGCGAACGGGUGAGUAACACGUGGGUUACCUGCCCCGAUGACUGGGACAACCCGGGGAAACCCGGGCUAAUACCGGAUGUGCUGCUCUCACUUCGGUGAAAGCAGGAAAGGAAGCUUCGGCCUCCGCAUCGGGAUGGGCCCGCGGCCCAUUAGCUUGUUGGUGAGGUAACGGCNCACCAAGGCCGCGACGGGUAGCUGGUCUGAGAGGACGAUCAGCCACACUGGGACUGAGACACGGCCCAGACUCCUACGGGAGGCAGCAGUGGGGAAUCUUGCGCAAUGCGCGAAAGCGUGACGCAGCAACGCCGCGUGGGGGAAGACGGCUUUCGGGUU
This 403-nucleotide ribosomal RNA is filed under the name uncultured bacterium. RNAcentral's name for it is "bacterial SSU rRNA". It matches the Rfam family "Bacterial small subunit ribosomal RNA", at positions 28 to 424 of the family's 1533-position model. The record is from RNAcentral.